Molecule: unclassified non-coding RNA, 337 nt
Filed under: soil metagenome
Description: partial contains 5.8S ribosomal RNA, internal transcribed spacer 2, and large subunit ribosomal RNA
Rfam family: 5.8S ribosomal RNA (bases 1-120)
Source: RNAcentral
GAUGAAGAACGUAGCGAAAUGCGAUAAGUAGUGUGAAUUGCAGAAUUCAGUGAAUCAUCGAAUCUUUGAACGCACAUUGCGCCCCUUGGUAUUCCAUGGGGCAUGCCUGUUCGAGCGUUAUUUGUACCCUCAAGCUAAGCUUGGUGUUGGGUGUUUGUCCACUCCCUCGUGUUUGGACUCGCCUUAAAACAAUUGGCAGCCAGUGUUUUGGUAUUGAAGCGCAGCACAAUUUGCGAUUCUAGCCUAGAAUACUAGCAUCCAUCAAGUCAUUUUUAACGCUUGACCUCGGAUCAGGUAGGGAUACCCGCUGAACUUAAGCAUAUCAAUAAGCGGAGGA